GAGUUAUGCCUAUUCCAAUGAUAUAAUUUUUCAUAAAAAAGUAACAUUCUAUUGUUUAAACUACAACUUUGUGUCUAUAUUCGUAAGCGAAAAACCUUACAAGAAAAUUAGACACCCUAUAUACAUCUCACUUUUUUAUGUAAGCCUAAGCCUAAAAACAAGUUAAAUUUUAAUAACAUAACGUAACAGUCAUAAAUUCUCAUGUACCAAAUAAAAACAGAUAUCUCAUAAUACUUUUCGGUGUACCUUCUUAUAAAAUAGGUUUUUAUAAAACAAGUUUUAUAUGCUGACGGUGCUGACGGUCGAUGGUAAAUGUUUGUGGAAAACAUGACAUUAAAUUAUUUUUAAAAUCAGGCCACUAAUAAUUGCUUAUUGUAUAACCAUUUAAAAUAAUUUCAGUGCUACUUACACCGUCGCCACUUUUAUUUCCAUAUUUUAAUGCAUGUUUGGAUUUUGCGUUUCACAUAUUUUUACUUUUUGUGCAAAUCAAACGUGCACUAAAAUAUAGAAUGUUUAUUAGGGUAAAAAGAGUAAUUAUAUCCAUGUCUUGUUUUCCGUAAAUGUAUAAGGUGUGCUAUCGACAAUGACAUACUCUAGGUAACAAAAAAACAACACUUAUAAGUAAAAAAAAAUCAGGUUUUAGAUAAUUCUGACUUACUAAAUAACAUUAUCACUAAAUAAUUAUUUGUGAAUCAUUUUUACCCAGCAAUGCCUUUUAGAACUCUUCAGAAAUAAAUAUGUGUCCCUGUAUUUUACGAAAAAUUGUUGGAACAUUAAAUUAAAAAAUACUUGCCACACAGUUUACAUUUCAUUUUGAUGUUAUUAGGUAAAAAAAACUUUUUUAAAAAUCAAAAUUCGGGAACAAAGGCAUUGCUGUAUAAAAAGUCUAGCCUCUGUAUAAAAACUUCUAGCCUCCAUAAUCAUGGGCUAGACACUUCAGGCUAUCUUCACGCCGGUAGAAAACGUCACCGAUUGUACUCUGCUUUUCAGCCAAGUGUGUGCCAAAAAAUAGUAAAUCUGGAGCAACAAGUUUCGAAUCCUAUUGAAAAAACAUAUCCCUGAGAUGGUUUCCGCUUUUAAUUAUUGCAUUCAAAUUAGUCCUGCAGUCCUCUUCAGAAAAUUAUACUGGCAAACAUUCAAAACCAUGGUCUCGAUGCUGUACCUUCCAAAUCUGCUUUUUUCUUCAAUUUAAAACUUCAUGGUUGUUCUACACUGUUAGAAAUGUAUUAUUGUUAUGAAGAGAUGCUGUGUAUAAGGUUUUCUAUUGAUGUCUUCACUCACAUUAUUUUAUAAAACAUGGAGACAAUAACAGCAUACAUUUUAAAAAUAUUUUUAGAAACAGAAGGACCAGAAAUAAGUUCCUGGAAAUAUGAACAUCCUGUAUCCAUCAGAAAGAAAAUUCUAUAGAAAUAUCAAUGAGCAAUCCAAGGACUUACUUAUUAUGCUACACAAGAUUGCUAUUUUCGCUGUAUAUGUCUAACAAUAAAUUUGUAAUUAAUUGUGUUAAUAGUAUUUAUAAGGCUAAUAUUUUCCUAAUAAAUUUUAUUAAAGUUUUAA
This 1557-nucleotide long non-coding RNA is filed under the name Sitophilus oryzae (rice weevil). RNAcentral describes it as "uncharacterized LOC115887852". The record is from RNAcentral. Lineage: Eukaryota; Metazoa; Arthropoda; Insecta; Coleoptera; Curculionidae.